CCCCCCCCCUCUAGCGUUAAGCGUAUUUUCUAACAUAUUAUACUUACGAGCAAGUUUUGCUGCAUCAAUUGCAUAUUCAGGAUUUGGUAACAAAGCUGGUACAAGGGAUUGGAACCACUGUAUUGUAUGAGUCGGAAUGGCUCUUAUGCCAUAUUUUCACUCUGGCACCUCAUCAGCAUCCGGAUCAAAAUGGUCCUCUUCCUCCACAAUUGGUGCUGGAGGUGGUGCCCUUCUUCCUCCUCGUCUGCUAGAAGUGGCAGCUUCAUAUAAUCAUGUGUUUGAUCUUUUGCUUGGUCUUCGAGACAUUAUAUCUACACAAUCAUGAAAUAUUAUAAAGAAAAUCAUUUUAAGAGCAAGUGGAGCAAAACACCCCAUACUUUAUAUCAUUAACAUGUUGACAUUUAUCAUGUAAAACAAGGAUUAAGACUACCAUGUUCUUCAAUUAGAAUGAUAUAAUGUUUAUCAGCUCACCCAAAUGUAGAGACAAUGACAACAAUGGAAAAGAAAAUAAUAUAAAGAGACCAAAAAGUAUACUAAAAAUAUUAAACUUAAACAUAUAAAUAAACGGAUUCAUUUUACAAAAUUCUAAGUUGUUUAUACAAAGUAUACUACAUAAGUGUGUUGGCAAGAAUCUUUAUUCUCAUUUUUUCACAAAGCAAAAAAUGAACAAUCAUGUUUUAACUUAAUGUUAUAGUUGUUAUAAAUAGCAAUAUCUCACAAUCCACUUUGUUUCUCAAUUUACAACUUAAUUCAAUUUCAUGUCAUAUAGACAUUUUAACAAACACAUUGUGAGCAUGUCUUGCUUUCUUUAAAUUUUAACUUAAAAUGAAGUAUAAUCACCAUAUCAACAACACACAUCUACCUCACUUCACAAUUAUAACAACACCAAACCUUCACAACAAUAUUUAAACCACAAAUUUUCACUUUAUGAUAUGUAUUUUCUGAUUAGUGUGCCCCUCAACAAUUUUUAUCAAGAAACACAACACACUUCACCUCAACACACCUUCUAAUCCUCCAUAACCACAAAUAAAAUAUACAUGUUAACUUUCAACUAGUAUUUGUAACUAUAUUAACAAAAUAAAUUAAAAGAAUUUAUGAACACAAAUUUUCUAGGGCUUAUAGAUAUAGAUGAAAAUAAAAAUAAAAUACAACAUGUGUUACUACUAAAUUGAAAGAAGAAAGAAAAGAAUUACUUACCUUUGGAGAAGAGCUUGAGGAGAGAUUGUUGGGUGAAUUGGAUGGUUUGAGAGUUGGAAUGGCAAAUAGUUGGGGAGGGAUUGAGAAUGAGAUAAGGUUUUAAUGAUUAAGGGGAGAGGGGGACGGUUUAUUUAGAUACAAUACAAAUUUGUUUUAAUUAAAACACACUACCGCGUCGUGCCCCGCGGCGCGGUAGUGCAAAUUUUUGUGCUACUUCCUUUUUUUGUAUUAU
This 1429-nucleotide long non-coding RNA is filed under the name Nicotiana benthamiana. RNAcentral's name for it is "long non-coding RNA (NBEN_LNC024849)". The record is from RNAcentral. Lineage: Eukaryota; Viridiplantae; Streptophyta; Magnoliopsida; Solanales; Solanaceae.